This 2258-nucleotide long non-coding RNA is filed under the name Mytilus galloprovincialis (Mediterranean mussel). The record is from RNAcentral. Lineage: Eukaryota; Metazoa; Mollusca; Bivalvia; Mytilida; Mytilidae.
GUCGAAAGAGUAUUAAUAAGGAGUCAAAAUAAGCUUAACAUAUUGAUAGGUUAUGAAGGUCGUUAUCGAGACUAGAGCAUACCCGCGAAUUCGCAGGUCCGUACCUGAUUUUUAAAAAGAACAUACGCUUUAUUUUUAACCUGGAUGCUUAGACGUCAUAUUGUUGUUUGGUGAAAUCAAGCUGAUAAUCAGGUGCACAGUAAUGCCCAAUGACGAAGUCCAUGAGUAGCUUGUAGCCAUUCAUACAAUGUAAACAUAUAAACUUUACACAUGAUUUUCAACCUGCAUACCGGGAUUUGUAUGUAAUAAUUGCCGCAGUACAUUUAGUUUGACCUAAGUCUUUGUAACAUUAUCCUGGCUACAAACAAGUAUUUUAUUUUACUCUUAAAUUCAGUGCAUGUAGCAGUGUAAAAUAUAUAUCAACAAUUUUCCUACUUUCGAAGUUAACACAAUGAUCAUUGCGACACCAUGGAUUCAGUUUUCAUUCCGUACCAAUACUUAGAACUAAUAUCAAUACUAUACAGCAAUAUAUAAUCGUUAUGUAAUCGAUAAAAAAUAACGACAACACGUAAUAAAAUCCUGGGUUGAGUUCAAUAUCGUAGCGGCUACGUAGCUGCUAUCAAUAUCUAUGUAAACAACUAGUCUAUAGCUGCAUGUUCAAUCGUCAAGAUCUACGUAGCACUACGUAGCAGCUACGAUAUUGAACUCAACCCUGACUCAGAAGUGCAUUUGUGGAUUCUAUUUCCUCAUGAACGACCAAAAGACGAAUAUUUGAAGGCCAAUAGUUUAUAAGACAAUAACAAUUUAAAAAAAGUCAAGGAGUAAACAAAGACUCAAAAACUCUAAGACAUAAGAGCUGCAAUAAAUGAUUUAAAGAUGAUUGUUCAGACUGUACGUUUAAUAAUUUCAUCUGCCGACAUGAUUGCAGAUAAAAAAAAAGUCGUAAAUAAAAAAUACUAAAAACAAAUAUAAGGGAAUACACGUGCAUUUAAUAAUUUAAUGCCUUAACGUACAGUAAAAAAUAUAUCAAUUCUCAACCCUAACAUACUUUUUGGCUUAAUGCGAGUUGAUUAAAUUGAUGCACUUAAUAAAUUUGUAAAAUCAAAGUUACAAAGGGGUAGUGAAAAAUUCAUUAUACCAGAAAUGAGCAUUUUAGAUGUAAAUAUGUAUUUAAAAAAACUUGACAAGUCGAAAGCAACUGGUUUAGAUGAUGUCGGACCAAUUAUUUUGAGUAUGUGCAGCAAUGUCAUUUUACCAGCUUUGACAUAUAUCUAAACAUCAAUUAUGGUAAAUUUCCAAGUAUUUUUAAAACUGCAAGAGUAUGCCAAAUUUUUAAAAGUGGCAAUGCCUGUAAUCCUGAUAAUUAUAGACCAAUAGCAGUUUUGGCUUGUCUAUCUAAAAUCAUAGAACGACAUAUAGCUAAUAGUUUGUAUAUAUUUUUAAAUAGUAAUGACCUUCUUAAUACUACACAGUCAGGUUUCAGAACUAAACAUUCGUAUACUACUGCACAUACUAAAUUAGUAGAUGAAUGGUUAGCAAAAAAAAGAUAAUGGAGAGAUAAAUGGAGUUAUAUUUUUAGAUUUAAAGAAAGCUUUUGAUCUGGUUAAUCAUAUAAUUUUAUUGAAAAAACUUGAAUAUUAUAAUGUUUCUAAUAGUACACUUGACUGGUUUAAGUCAUACUUGUUUGAACGAAGCCAACAAGUUAAGGUCAAUAACGUCAUGUCUAAUACUAAAUGCAGAAAAACUGGUGUAUCACAAGGUUCUAUCCUGGGCCCUUUGUUAUUUAUUUUAUAUAUCAAUGAUUUACCACUUAAUAUAGAACAUUCAUUAAUAGAUUUAUAUGCAGACGAUUCUACAUUACAUUGUAAAGGUAAUGAUGUAAUUCAGUUAGCUUCUAACCUUCAAAAUGAUAUUCAUGUAAUUGAAAACUGGUGCUCGCAAAAUUGUAUGAAAUUAAAUGCCAAAAAAGAGUAAAUCAAUGAUUAUUGGUUCAAAACAAUGGCUUUGUUUAACUGGAAACAGUUUUGAUAUCAAUAUUUCAAAUGAACAAAUAGAAAAUGUAGAUUGUGAAAAACUACUUGGUUUAUAUAUUGACAAAAACUUUAAUUGGAGUCAGCAAAAAGAUAAAAUGUCAAUUACUAUAUCAAAUAGAAUCAACUUAUUACAAAAGAUAAGAAAAUAUUUACCUAUGCAUAUACGUAUUAUCUAUUUUAAUGCUUAUAUUCUGCCAUUAUUUGAUUAUUGUUGCAAUAUAUGGG